GGGUUUAUAUAAUCUCUUUAAAUCUUAUGCGUCUUCUGAUGUCUGCUUCAAAUUGCUAUAUAUAUUCAUCUUUCAUUGCUACUAACCGCAUCAGCUAUUGACUUCAUCUGUAAGAAUCUCUUCUUCUUCUUCUUUAAACUGUGUGCUUUCAUAUUUUUAGUCUUUACUCGUUCUGUUUCUGUAGAUUUUGUAACAAGAUUGAUCGGGAGCCAUGGGUGAUGCAAAGGAGGUGAUUCUUGUAUUAUUUGUUUCUGUGGGCUGAUCCAUCUGUAGAACUUGAAAACCUUAUUGAUUGAUUCCAUUAUGUUUAUGAUUUCAGGGAACGAGUGAAAUGAUGUCUGCAAAACAGACCAAUGAGAUUGUGAUUGACGAAAAAACAACAAAUGAAAUUGUGUCUGAUAAAGAGACCAAAGAGAUCGUGUUGUCUGAGAAUACAACAAUUGAUGAAGAGAUCUUGUCUGUGAAGAAAACACAGGAAAAUGUGUGUGAAAAAGAAACAAAUGAGACUCUGCUUGAGCAGACGGCCAAGGAAACAGUAUCCCAGAAAAAGCCUAUAGUUGUAUUUGUUUUAGGUGGUCCUGGAGGGGGAAAGACCACUCAGUGUGCCAAGGUAGCCAAAGAAUUUGGGUUUACCCAUCUCAGCAGCGGAGAACUUCUUCGCCAGAGAAUUAAAAGUGACCCAGAAAAUGGACCUGUGAUUGAAGCCGAGAUGAAGGAGGGAGAGAGCGUUGCUCCAGACAUAACAAUGGAGGAACUUAAGAAAGCUAUGGCAAAAAGUGAAAAUAAUAAAUUUAUUCUGGAUGGUUUUCCUUUUGAUGAGGAGACUCGAGCUACUUUUGAAGCUGCUACCAACAUACAACCAGAACUUGUGCUCUUCUUUGAUUGUUCUGAGGAAGAAAGGGAGAGAAGAAUUUUAAGCAGGAAACAGCAGGGAAGGCCAGAUGACAAUCCUGAGACUGUAAGGAAGCGAUUUAAAAAAUUUCAGAAGAAUACUCUUCCUGUGGUUGAGCAUUAUAGAGCAAGAGGCAUAGUUUUGCAGGUAAAAUCAAUCGCAGUAGUAAGUUUUGAAUGAAACUUGAACUGGAGACCUUUCCUGGAUACGACCAUAAUAUUACUGAACUAAAACUUAUUAGUCAAUUAAUUGCAAUUUUAUAUUUGGUUAAGAGCAAAUGCUACGCACAAGAGAAAGGCACGUACCCUGAUAAAAUCAUGGCAAUUUUAUUGCCAAGCAUGUUAAAUGAUAAUUACUGGUUUUCUUUAGGUUGAUGCUGGAAAGCUAGAGGAGGAAGUGUUUAAGACUCUUAAAAGCAUUCUUGAACCCUCAACAAAGAUGCAAGCUGAAGAUGAAGCACCAACCAUUGAAGAACUUGAAAAGGAAAUAUCAGAAUUGUUAUUAUAAAAUAAAAUAGUAUUGUGUCAAUUUUCUAAGAAACAAUGAAGUGAUUAUAUUAUCACUCAUUUGGUUGAAUCUGAUUUGUCAUUAACUAUUUAACUAUAAAUAUGAGAGUAUUAUGUGCUUUUUUUACUUUUCAAUUUGGCAUCCCAAUUUUCAACAA
This 1556-nucleotide unclassified non-coding RNA is filed under the name Hevea brasiliensis (rubber tree). The record is from RNAcentral. Lineage: Eukaryota; Viridiplantae; Streptophyta; Magnoliopsida; Malpighiales; Euphorbiaceae.